This 415-nucleotide ribosomal RNA is filed under the name Trimmatostroma betulinum. RNAcentral describes it as "partial large subunit ribosomal RNA". It matches the Rfam family "Eukaryotic large subunit ribosomal RNA", at positions 113 to 537 of the family's 3401-position model. The record is from RNAcentral. Lineage: Eukaryota; Fungi; Ascomycota; Dothideomycetes; Mycosphaerellales; Mycosphaerellaceae.
AUUUGAAAGCUGCCAACAGGCCGCAUUGUAAUUUGUAGAAUAUGCUUUGGGUGUUGACCUAGUCUAAGUUCCUUGGAACAGGACGUCAUACAGGGUGAGAAUCCCGUAUGUGAUUAGUGUCCGCCCCCGUGUAAAGCUCUUUCGACGAGUCGAGUUGUUUGGGAAUGCAGCUCAAAAUGGGUGGUAAAUUUCAUCUAAAGCUAAAUAUUGGCCAGAGACCGAUAGCGCACAAGUAGAGUGAUCGAAAGAUGAAAAGCACUUUGGAAAGAGAGUUAAACAGUACGUGAAAUUGUUGAAAGGGAAGCGCUUGCAAUCAGACUUGCAGGCAGUCGAUCAUCCGAGGUUCUCCUCGGUGCACUCGAUUGUCUUCAGGCCAGCAUCGGUUUCGGUGGGGGGAUAAAGGCUGUGGGAAUGU